GGCUGUGAUGGGGUUGAGGCAGAGAGAUGAAGGGAGCUGGGGCUGUGAUGGGGUUGAGGCAGGGAGAGGAGGGGAGCUGGGGCUGUGAUGGGGUUGAGGCAGAGAGAGGAAGGGAGCUGGGGCUGUGAUGGGGUUGAGGCAGCGAGAGGAAGGGAGCUGGGGCAGUGAUGGGGUUGAGGCAGGGAGAGGAGAGGAAGGGAGCUGGGGCCGUAAUGGGGUUGAGGCAGGGAGAGGAAGGGAGCUGGGGCCGUGAUGGGGUUUAGGCAGGGAGAGGAAGGGAGCUGGGGCCGUGAUGGGGUUGAGGCGGGGAGAAGAAGGGAGCUGGGGCUGUGAUGGGGUUGAGGCAUGGAGAAGAAGGGAGCUGGGGCUGUGAUGGGGUUGAGGCAUGGAGAGGAAGGGAGCUGUGGCUGUGAUGGGUUGAGGCAGGGAGAGGAAGGGAGCUGGGGCUCUGAUAUGGUUGAGGCAGGGAGAGGAAGGGAUCUGGGGCCGUGAUGGGGUUGAGGCGGGGAGAAGAAGGGAGCUGGGGCUGUGAUGGGGUUGAGGCAUGGAGAAGAAGGGAGCUGGGGCUGUGAUGGGGUUGAGGCAUGGAGAGGAAGGGAGCUGUGGCUGUGAUGGGUUGAGGCAGGGAGAGGAAGGGAGCUGGGGCUCUGAUAUGGUUGAGGCAGGAAGGGGAGGGGUGGUGGUCUCUGAUGGGGUUGAGGCAGGAAGGGGAGGGGAAGUGGGGCUCUGAUGGGGUUGAGGAAGGGAGAGGAAGGGAGCUGGGGCUGUGAUGAGGUUGAGGCAGAGAGAGGAAGGGAGCUGGGGCUGUGAUGGGGUUGAGGCAGCGAGAGGAAGGGAGCUGGGGCAGUGAUGGGGUUGAGGCAGGGAGAGGAGAGGAAGGGAGCUGGGGCCGUAAUGGGGUUGAGGCAGGGAGAGGAAGGGAGCUGGGGCCGUGAUGGGGUUUAGGCAGGGAGAGGAAGGGAGCUGGGGCCGUGAUGGGGUUGAGGCGGGGAGAAGAAGGGAGCUGGGGCUGUGAUGGGGUUGAGGCAUGGAGAAGAAGGGAGCUGGGGCUGUGAUGGGGUUGAGGCAUGGAGAGGAAGGGAGCUGUGGCUGUGAUGGGUUGAGGCAGGGAGAGGAAGGGAGCUGGGGCUCUGAUAUGGUUGAG
Molecule: long non-coding RNA, 1144 nt
Organism: Oncorhynchus tshawytscha (Chinook salmon)
Lineage: Eukaryota; Metazoa; Chordata; Actinopteri; Salmoniformes; Salmonidae
Source: Ensembl